Long non-coding RNA from Phyllostomus discolor (pale spear-nosed bat), 84 nucleotides. RefSeq lists it as uncharacterized. Lineage: Eukaryota; Metazoa; Chordata; Mammalia; Chiroptera; Phyllostomidae. The record is from RefSeq and is a predicted model, not a curated record. The transcript has 3 exons.
UGGGUCUCAGAGGUUAAAAUGGUUUUCAUAAUAAUACUAGCAUGCCAUUUCCCUUUUUCACUCUCAUUUCAAAAAUGUUCUGUG